RNAcentral lists this small RNA (20 nucleotides) under Arabidopsis thaliana (thale cress). RNAcentral describes it as "Ath_wt_19233". The record is from RNAcentral. Lineage: Eukaryota; Viridiplantae; Streptophyta; Magnoliopsida; Brassicales; Brassicaceae.
UGCAGCCCCAAUCGGGCGGU